RNAcentral lists this ribosomal RNA (465 nucleotides) under Vreelandella stevensii. RNAcentral describes it as "partial 16S ribosomal RNA". It matches the Rfam family "Bacterial small subunit ribosomal RNA", at positions 338 to 795 of the family's 1533-position model. Lineage: Bacteria; Pseudomonadati; Pseudomonadota; Gammaproteobacteria; Oceanospirillales; Halomonadaceae. The record is from RNAcentral.
CCUACGGGUGGCAGCAGUGGGGAAUAUUGGACAAUGGGGGCAACCCUGAUCCAGCCAUGCCGCGUGUGUGAAGAAGGCCCUCGGGUUGUAAAGCACUUUCAGUGAGGAAGAACGCCUGGUGGUUAAUACCCAUCAGGAAAGACAUCACUCACAGAAGAAGCACCGGCUAACUCCGUGCCAGCAGCCGCGGUAAUACGGAGGGUGCGAGCGUUAAUCGGAAUUACUGGGCGUAAAGCGCGCGUAGGUGGCUUGAUAAGCCGGUUGUGAAAGCCCCGGGCUCAACCUGGGAACGGCAUCCGGAACUGUCAAGCUAGAGUGCAGGAGAGGAAGGUAGAAUUCCCGGUGUAGCGGUGAAAUGCGUAGAGAUCGGGAGGAAUACCAGUGGCGAAGGCGGCCUUCUGGACUGACACUGACACUGAGGUGCGAAAUCGUGGGUAGCAAACAGGAUUAGAUACCCUGGUAGUC